GACGAACGCUGGCGGCGUGCCUAACACAUGCAAGUCGAGCGGAGAUAAGCGGAUGGUAACUGAAGCUUAUCUUAGCGGCGGACGGGUGAGUAACACGUGGGCAACCUGCCUUGAAGUGGGGGAUAACACCGGGAAAUCGGUGCUAAUACCGCAUAACAUACACAAACUGCAUGGUAAGUGUAUCAAAGGAGCAAUCCGCUUUAAGAUGGGCCCGCGGCUGAUUAGCUAGUUGGUAAGGUAACGGCUUACCAAGGCGACGAUCAGUAGCCGACCUGAGAGGGUGACCGGCCACACUGGAACUGAGACACGGUCCAGACUCCUACGGGAGGCAGCAGUGGGGAAUAUUGCGCAAUGGGGGGAACCCUGACGCAGCAACGCCGCGUGGAGGAAGAGGUCUUCGGAUUGUAAACUCCUGUCUUCUGGGACGAAUAAUGACGGUACCAGAGGAGGAAGCCACGGCUAACUACGUG
This 470-nucleotide ribosomal RNA is filed under the name uncultured bacterium. RNAcentral describes it as "bacterial SSU rRNA". It matches the Rfam family "Bacterial small subunit ribosomal RNA", at positions 28 to 507 of the family's 1533-position model. The record is from RNAcentral.